GAUGCAAAAUAAUAGCAUGAAUGACAUUGUGGAUGGCUUGGCACCGUGACUGCUCGGGGGUCUGCCACAGUUGCUGACAACAUAAUUGUUGCAACAGUUGGUAACUUUGUUGCAAUACUUGUGAGCUUGCAUGUGCUAUGUUGGGUUGUUGCAAGACGACAUCCCUGCAUGGAAUCAGUUGUUGUUGCAGAAUUUGUUGAAGGAUUUGUUGUUGUUGUUGUUGUUGUUGUUGUUGUUGUGCUUGUUGCUGCGAAAUUGGUUGUUGUGGUUGCGGAUAUUGUGGUUGUGGUUGUGGAUAUGAUUGUUGUGGUGGAAAUGGUUGCGGCUGCGGAUAUGGUAGUUGUGGCAGAAAUGGUUGCGGCUGCGGAUAUGGCUGUUAUGGUGGAAAUGGUUGUUGUUGCCCUGGAAAUUGUUGUUGUUACUGCCCUAGAAAUUGUUGUUGUUGCACCAAUGGAACUUGCUCUUGUGGUUGUUGCUGAGAUGGAUUUUGUGGCUGCAAUUGUGGCACUGGAACUCUAACUGCAGUUGUGGUGGUGGUCUCCACGAUAGCAAGGAGGGCAAGGAUGAGAAAGGUCUUCAUGGUGGAUUUGUAUUGACCACUGCUUGCUUGGCUUGAAUGAUGCACUCUACUUAUGAGAAUGAUGGAUGAGGAAGGAUGAUCAUCAUGCUACAUGCCUAUUUAUAGCUGUCAUGGCAUCAUCUCCUUCACAAUUGGCAUUUGCUUGUCUGGAAAGUGCUUGGAUGCUUCCUAAAAUCAUAAUUUGGUAUGUUGUGCUUGGUGGCACUAUCAUUCCACCACCAAAAAGUUGUGAUAACACACAUGACUCAUCUUAUUCACUUUACAACUCAAACACUAAUCUAGAUUGCCUAAUUUUUUUUGAAACUAAGUUUGUAAUGUUUUGCAAGUUGUUAUGUGUAAACUAGAUAAGCAUUGCUUGCACAGAACUUAGUUUGUAAUCUUGUGUGACCUGUUAAGAUAGAUGAGACUAGUAAUGUAACUUGAUUUAGUAGGUCAUGACUCAUCAAAUUCUUUUUACAUGUCAAGUGUUUUAGCUUUCUAGAAGUUAUUAGCAAACAUCAAUUGUGUAAUGUUCUACAAGUUGUUACGUGUAAACUAGAUAAGCUUGACUUGCACACAAAAAGGAUUGUAAUCAUGUGUGACCUGUUAAGAUAGAUUAGAGUAGUAAUAAAGCUUGCUUUGAUAGACCAUGACUCAUCAAAUUGCUUUUACUUAUCUUAACUGUUGUAUAUGUUGUACAAGUUAUUAACACUUAUCACCUUAGUAUGGCUUGCAAUGUGUGUGCAUGCCAAGGUAUGUGUAGCUUCUAUCCGUUUGUAGAUCUUAUUUUGUUUUACGCGAAAUCAUGCAAAUGAUCACCUAUGGUAACGCUUGCGAGUGCAGCUACAACAAUGUUGGCAGGGUCGGCGGGAGGCAGCUGGAUGGCAUGAGUUCUUGUAACAACCUAUAAUUCAUUAUGGUUUUUUUUNNNNNNNNNNNNNNNNNNNNNNNNNNNNNNNNNNNNNNNNNNNNNNNNNNNNNNNNNNNNNNNNNNNNNNNNNNNNNNNNNNNNNNNNNNNNNNNNNNNNGAGUUUGAGAGCGAGCGCUCCUCCUGGACUGACAGGGAGGCGAUGCUGACCUCCGACUUCCACGAGAUCGAGGAUAUUGUUGAUGGUAAGUUUCUUUCGUUUCUUCGGGCCUCCGACUAUGUGUCAGGCCGACUUGUGAUUUUUCGACUUGCUUCUUUUUUGUCUUGGCAGACUUCUUCCCUGGUCACUCGCAGGCAGUCCCUCUGGCCAUCGAGGCUGCUCAUGAGGCGCGAAGGGCAAGCGGUGAGGAGAUCGCCGCUAAUGCCCCCCGAACCGUCGAUGAGCAGCUUCUGAGCAUUGAAGCCCGUCUUCGUCUGGCCCACCAGCGGAUGCGCCGGCUUUAGCGUGUCGGCGCCCAGGCGGUUGCCGCUUUGUGGCCGGACAAGCUGGCUCUGCGCACCGCCAGUCGGACCGCCGACUGGCUGGAAGUCGCCGCCGGCCGUCUUGAAGCUUGGAAGGGUUCCUCGGCCCGUGCCGGAGCGCGCCGGGCCUUGGAGUUCGUCAAGGCGUGGUAUCCGGGGCUGGACCUGGACCGUAUGGCCGCGUUUCGGUCAGAAGCCAGGCCGAGCUGGAGGCCGUGGAGGCCGCCCUUAUCGAGCGUGCGGCGGCCAUCGCCGAGUACACGGACACUAGUGUCUUCAUGCCCGAGCGGGCUGAAGGCGGCGAGGAAGUGCCGCUAGAGUGGUUCGGGAUGAACCCGGAGUAUGGAGAGGACUCGGCGGAGGUGAUCGACUCCAGCACCGAGGAGGAGGACGAGGCGGAGGAUGAAGGCGAGGCGGAGGUGCCAGAAGACGGAGCAGGCGGCUAGCCUCAGCUCGACUGCGCCUCUAGUAAUGAGCCGCGUCGAGAGAAGGCGACUGCCGCCGGAGGCGAUCAAACCGAGACCGCCCAGCCGACUGCCCCGGCGCCUGACACCGCCGUCUCCUCCGAUCCUCCAAUCCCAGAUGCUGCCUCCUAGGCUGCCUUUUCCGCCUCUGCUUGUCUGUCUUAGUAAUCUUUUGAAAACUUUAUUAGAUUCGAACAAUUCCACCCACGGGGUGUAUCUUGAACUUCCAUUCGAAGGUUCGACCAAGGGCCUAUGUAAAUAUUUAUCCGAUUUCCGUCUUUCCUUGCUUACUGCUCUUUAGGCUUUUCCCUUUGCCGCCUUCCUUUAGUUGCUGCCUUGCCAGUUGGACAGCCGCUCUGCGGACUGUCACUGGGUCAAGUGCUUGGCUACUUCGGGAAGGCAUGUACUUGGCCAUUUAGAGUUUCUUUAGCAAGUCGGAUAGAAAGCGACAGGCCGACUACCCAAGAGUCGGCCGUCCUUGAUAGAGGUUAAUAAAGACGGCGAGCCGACUACUCAUGAGUCGGCUUUCUGCUUUAGAAAUGCUGGAGGUCGUCUUACGCUAUGUUCGUGCUUUAGGUCCUUAGCCAUUUUUCGUGUGGGCGCCCGUUCUUCCUCACUCCUGCCUGCCUCACAGUCGCUCUGCGAGCUGCAGCUUUGCCAGGAGGCGGAUUGGGCACCGCGCACUACUUGUCUGACUGCGGGAAGCUCCUGAUAGCGCAAGGCGGCGAGUCCCCGGGCCGACUAGUCUGGCCCGGUGCCAAGCGGCUUGUAAUGAAAGUAAUGUACUCGAAGGCAUAAUUCUUAUCGUACAGAUAGCAAAAAGGGCAGUCCCCGAGCUCGUCUCGGGGGGCCCAAAGUCUUAGUACUUUAAUACAAAGGGGUAGUGUGAUACAUACUGCAUCAACUGUAAAAUCUUCGAAGAAGAUUUGCAUUCCACGGGCGCUUUGUCUCUUUGCCGGAGUCGUCCCUCUUGCGCACUCGGGGCUUCUGAGCGUCGAUCAGAUAGUAGGCGUCGUUCCCUAGCACCUUGCUGAUGAUAAAGGGGCCUUCCCAAGGUGCCGACAGCUUGUGCUGGCCGGCUGUUCGCUGGAUCAGCCGGAGCACAAGGUUGCCUUCUUGGAAAGAUCUUGGCGUGACCUUCCUGUUGUAGUAUCAACGCAGACUCUGCUGGUAGAUGCUGGACCGGCUGAGUGCCAACAGCCGGCCCUCUUCCAGCAGAUCGACGCCGUCUUGACGUGCUUCUUCUGCUUCUUCCUUGGUGUACAUGGUGACUCGCGGGGAGUCGAACUCUAUGUCCGUUGGGAUGACGGCUUCGGCACCGUAGACGAGGAAGAAGGGUGUGAAGCCGGUUGACUUGUUUGGAGUCGUGCGCAGACUCCAGAGGACGCCUGGCAGCUCCUCAAGCCAACAGCCGGCAGAUCGCUCCAGCGGUACGAUGAGUCGAGGCUUGAUGCCGGAUAAGAUGAGGCCGUUCGCUCGCUUCACCUGGCCGUUUGACUAUGGAUGGGCAACGGAUGCUAAGUCCAGUCGGAUGCCCUGUGUCGCGCAGAAACGGGCCAAGGCGCCUUUGGCAAAAUUCGUGCCAUUGUCGGUGAUGAUGCUGUGUGGGAUGUUGUACCGAGUUGUGAUGUCAGCGAUGAAGGUCACUGCAGUCGGACCAUUCAACUUCUUGAUGGGUUUCACCUCCACCCACUUGGUGAAUUUGUCCACUGCGACAAGUAGGUGAGUCAAGCCACCUCGUGCCGUCUUGAAUGGUCCCACCAUGUCCAGGCCCCAGACUGCAAAGGGCCAGGCGAUGGGGAUAGUCUUGAGUGCGGAAGCUAGCUGAAGUGGCUUGUAAUGGAAAAUCGGGCACCCCUUGCACUUUUGGACUAACUCUUUGGCCUCUUCCAGGGCGGUUGGCCAGAAGAAAACGUGCCGGAAGGAUUUGGCGACGAGUGCCCUAGAGGCCGCGUGGUGACCGCACUCGCCUUCAUGGAUGUCUCUGAGGAUUGCUUGGCCUUGUUCUGCCUUGACGCAGCGUUGGAAGACGCCGGUAACGCUGCGCCUGACCAGCUCUCUGUUGACUAUGGUGUAGGCUGCUGCUCGGCCUUGCACUUGUCGAGCCGAGAUUUCAUCAGUUGGCAGCUCUCUGUUUACUAAGAACCUGAGGAUGGGCUGGGCCCAUGAAGGUGCUGCUAUUUCUUCAACUGCCACUAGUGUGACUUGGACAAGGGCGGCCGGGCUGGGAGGUGGCGGGUUGGAGUUCGCAGCCGCUUGCUGAUUUGACAAAGUCCCAGGGCCGACUGGAGCAGUCCCCGGGCCGAGCUCUGGAGUCUUUGAUCUUGCCACUGCAAUCCCCGGGCCGGGUUCUGAAGUCUUUGAUCUUGCCACUGCAGGCCCCGGGCCGGGUUCUGAAGUCCCCGGGCCGGCUUCGACUGUGUGUUUCCUAGAGUCGGAUCCGUCUUCCUCAGGUGGAGUCGGCACAAAGAUUGAAUCUGAUUCUGGUGACGGCUUGAUAGAAGGCUUGAGGAGGCGCCGGAGGGCCACACCAGAUGGUAUUGCCUGGCGGGUGGAGCCGAUUCAUGCCAAGGCGUCUGCUUGGUCGUUGUCGUUCCUUGUCACGUGGAGGAACUCGCACCCCUUGAAGUAUCCGCUGAGUUGCUGGACGAGGAAACGAUAGCUCGCCAUAUUUGCGUCCUUGGCGUCCCAAUCGCUAGAUGAUUGCUGGACCACCAAGUCAGAGUCGCCAUAACAGAGGAUCCGGCGAAUGCUGAGUUCUUUGGCAAGCCGGAGCCCGUGGAUGAGCGCCUCGUACUCGGCCACGUUGUUGGAGGCGACGAAGUGGAUCUGCAGCGCAUAUCUGAGCUUGUCACCCUUGGGGGAAGUGAGGACGACGCCGGCUCCCAAGCCGGUGCGCAUCUUGGAGCCGUCGAAGUGCAUCCGCCAAUGGGUGGAGUCGGGCGCUGGCGGCAGAUACUGGGUCUCGGCCCAGUCGACGAGGAAGUCGACCAGUGCUUGCGACUUGAUGGCGGUGCGGGGCUCGUAGUAGACGGUGUAGGGGGCCAGGUCGAUGGCCCAUUUGGCCACUCGGCCAGAAGCAUCUCGGCUUCCGAUGAUCUCGGCCAGUGGAGUUUUGCAGACCACAGUGAUUGGAUGCUCCUGGAAGUAAGGCUUCAAUUUCUUGGCGGCAAAAUGUACGCGGUAGCACAUCUUCUGGUAAUGGGGGUAGUUCUGCUUGGAGGCCGACAGUACCUCGCUCAGGUAAUAUACCGGUCUCUGGACAGGCAGCGCCUUGCCUUCCUCCUUGCGCUCGACUAGAAUGACUGUGCUGACUACUCGGCUGGUGGCGGCAAUGUAUAGGAGCAUGGGCUCUUUGGGAGUCGGAGCCGCCAGCACAGGGGGAGUAGUCAACAUCUUCUUUAGUUGGAGAAAAGCCUCAUCCGCCUUGGGAGUCCACUCAAAGAAGGUCAUCUUCUUCAUGAGCUGAUACAAGGGGAGAGCAUUCUCGCCCAGCCGACUGAUGAAUCGGCUGAUGGAUGCCAAACAGCCGGUGAACUUCUGCACAUCCAACAGUCGUCUGGGUGCUUCCAUCCUCUCGAUGGCCUUGAUCUUCACAUGAUUGCACUCUAUGCCGCGUUUGCAGACCAGGAAGCCGAGGAGCUGGCCGGCUGGUACUCCAAAAACGCACUUCUCUAGGUUGAGCUUGAUCUGGAAUCGGCACAUAUUCUCAAAUGUUUCCUUGAGGUCCUCCANNNNNNNNNNNNNNNNNNNNNNNNNNNNNNNNNNNNNNNNNNNNNNNNNNNNNNNNNNNNNNNNNNNNNNNNNNNNNNNNNNNNNNNNNNNNNNNNNNNNUCCUUCUCGUCAACCUCGAAAGUCAUAGCCUUAUGUUUUCGGUCAUAUUGACUCUUUUGACGAGAUUGGGCUGUUUUCAACUUUUCACGAACGAUGCGAACUUGCUCUUCUGCUUCCUGAAUCAUAUCCGGGCCAAAGAAUUGUCUUUCCCCAGUUUCUGACCAGUUAAGGGGUGUUCGACACCGUCGUCCAUAGAGAACUUCAAAAGGGGCUUUACCCAAGCUAGAUUGAUAGCUGUUGUUAUAAGCAAAUUCGGCAAAUGGAAGGCAUUUCUCCCACUCCAUUCUGAAUGAGAUAACAGAGGCUCGAAGCAUGUCUUCUAGGAUCUGGUUGACGCGUUCUACUUGACCACUUGAUGGAGGGUGAAAAGCGGUGCUAAAGGAAAGGCGGGUUCCCAUAGCAUUGUGGAAACUUUCCCAAAAUCGAGAGGUGAAAAGACUUCCUCGAUCCGAGUUAAUUUCCAAAGGAACACCAUGGAGAGACACUAUUCGGGAGAUGUAUAAGUCUGCCAAUUGACUAGCGGUUAUACUCUCACGAACAGGUAAGAAAUGGGCUACCUUGGAAAGACGAUCGACAACAACGAAGAUAGCAUUAUUCCCUCUCUUGGUCCUGGGAAAACCGGUAAUGAAGUCCAUACCAAUUUUAUCCCAUUUCCAUUCAGGAAUAGCUAGGGGUUGAAGGGUGCCAGCAGGCCGUUGAUGCUCUGCUUUUACACGACGACAGACGUCGCAAUUAGCAAUAUACUGAGCAAUUUCUCUCUUCAUCCUAGUCCACCAGAACCUCUGGCGUAGGUCCUGAUACAUCUUGGUACCACCGGGAUGAAUGGUGAGAGGAGAUUCAUGAGCUUCCUUAAGGAUCAAUCGUCUCAGGUUUCGCACCUUGGGAACCACUAGUCGAUUCCCGAAGUAUACGACCCCUUGAUCAUCAAUGGAGAAACAAUUCGCAACUCCUUUCUUGAUGUUUUUCUUGAUGCGGGAAAUUCCCGGAUCUACCUUCUGUGCUUUGAUGAUCUGAUCCGUAAGGGUAGGUUUCGCCACCAAGGUGGAAAGAAAACCUUGAGGAACAAUGUGAAGGUUAAGCUUCCGAAAUUCCUCAUGGAGAAGCGGUUGACUUUGUUGUAACAUCAGGUUGUUACAAUAAGAUUUACGACUUAGCGCAUCAGCCAUGACGUUGGCUUUCCCUGGGGUGUAAGUUAUUCCUAAGUCGAAAUCUGUGAUCAACUCGACCCAACGUCUUUGCCUGAGAUUCAAAUCCGGUUGGGUGAAGAUGUACUUCAGACUUUGGUGAUCAGUGAAUAUUUCGCAACGAUUACCGAGAAGGUAAUGUCGCCAGGUUUUAAGUGCAUAGACUACAGCUGCAAGCUCUAGAUCAUGAGUAGGAUAAUUCUCCUCAUGUGGGUGCAAUUGCCGUGAGGCGUAAGCAAUUACGUGUCGAUCUUGCAUGAGAAUACAGCCUAGUCCUUGUCGCGAGGCAUCGCAGUAGAUAACAAAGUCCUUAGAGAAGUCUGGCGGUACCAGUACGGGAGCAGAAGUCAGGCGUCUUUUCAGUUCCUGAAAGCUGUGCUCACAUUGUGGAGUCCAUUCGAACUUUUUAUCUUUCUUGAGGAGUUCGGUUAGAGGUUUUGCAACUUUGGAGAAGUUCUCGACAAAGCGACGGCAAUAGCUCGCUAAGCCCAGAAAACUCCGAACUUGCUUGACCGAUUCAGGUGGAGUCCAAUUAAGGACGGCUUGAACUCGCUCGGGGUUAACAGCAAUACCUUUACCAGAUAUUACAUGACCUAGAUAGGUCACUUCUGACAACCAAGAUUCACAUUUAGAAAACUUGGCAUAAAGGCGAUGCUCUCGAAGUUUCUUCAACACUAGCCUUAGAUGUUCGGCAUGUUCUUCCUCGUUCUUGGAGUAGAUGAGUAUAUCAUCGAGGUAAACCACGACGAAUUUAUCCAAAUACUCCAUGAAGAUUGAGUUCAUUAACCGAGAAAAAGUGGCUGGAGCGUUGGUUAAACCGAAGGACAUGACGGUGUACUCGUAUUGGCCAUAACGAGUAACAAAGGCCGUUUUAGGAAUGUCCCCAUUCCUGAUUUUGAUUUGAUGGUAGCCCAACCUCAAAUCCAUUUUGGAGAAGAUUGAGGAUCCAGCGAGCUGAUCAUACAAGUCGUUGAUCCUGGGGAGCGGAUAUUUGUUCUUGAUUGUGACCAAAUUGACAGGUCGAUAAUCUACAACCAUCCGGUCCAUACCAUCCUUCUUCUUGACAAAGAGGACGGGGCAAGCCAACAGAGAUGAACUAGGUCGGAUGAAACCCUUUUUCAAGGACUCAUCGAGUUGUUUCUUAAGCUCGGCUAGUUCUAGUGGUGCCAUCUUAUAGGGUCUUCUAGCAAUCGGAACGGUUCCUGGAAUGAGGUCUAUUACGAACUCAACAUCCCUGUCAGGUGGAACACCUGGCAAUUCCUUUGGGAAGACAUCCGGGAAGUCACGGACUACCGGGACGUCCUCAAGGUCUGGCAAAGGGCUGGCGUUCAGAGAAUAUAACUGUCGCUUGGCUAUUCGGGUCAAGACAUUGACUAUCUUCCCCGAAGGAUGGGUGAGUUGAACAGUCCUAGAGAAGCAAUCAAUUUGGGCAUGAUGGGCUGACAUCCAGUCCAUACCCAAGAUGAUAUUAAUAUCUGAAGAUUUAAGGGCUAUCAAAGAUGCGAGAAAAACAAGUCUGUCGACUUGAAUUUCAUUUCCAUGGCUUACUCUAGAAGUUUGCCAUUUGGAUCCCGGAGUUUGAAUUACCAUAGAGGUGGGCAUCUCACAGAAUGUGGUGUUAUGCAGACGAGCAUAGCUCUCGGAUAUAAAUGAAUGAGAUGCUCCUGUAUCAAAAAGAACAGAUGCCGGGUGGCAAUUAACAAGGAGCGUACCGAGAACGACGUUGGGAUCCUCUUGAGCUUCUUCGGCAGAGAUAUAGUUGACAUGGCCACGUGUAGCGGUGGCCGGCUUGGCGUGGAACACUUUACCUAUCGGCUUGCCACGGCCAAUAACUUUAGCAGAUUGGUUGGGGUUGGUCUGGGGACACUCGCGUAUAUAGUGGUCCGAUUCCCCACACUUAAAACAAGUCACAGAACUGGUACGUGGAGGAGCACUGUUGGUUGGACCACCAUAGGGCUUGGCUGGUGCAGACUGUUGAACGGGGCGAGGCACCUGGAAGGAUGGCCUCGGUGUGAACCUGGGUGGCAGGGCAGUGUUGGGCACCCACACGCGGCGCUUCUGAGGACCAGCACCAGAUGAGGAACCCACGUCACGGCCAUGCUUGCGUGUUGCGUCAUAAUCGGUCUGACCAGUCUCAGCACUGAUGGCCUUGUUAACAAGCUUCUGAAAAGAUGUGCACUCAUGCAGACGGAGGUCGCGGUGAAGCUCAGGACUAAGUCCCUUACGGAACCUUGCUUGCUUCUUGGCAUCAGUAGAAACUUCCUCAGUGGCAUAUCGUGCGAGGUUACCGAACUCCCUGCUGUAAGCAUCCACAGAGAGUCGGCCUUGGGUGAAACUGCAAAAUUCCUCACGUUUACGGUCCAUGAGACCCUCCGGAAUGUGAUGUUCACGGAAAGCCUCACUGAAUUCAGCCCAAGUAGUGACAUGGCCCGCUGGGCGCAUAGCUCCAUAAUUCUCCCACCAUAGACUGGCGGGGCCUUCAAGAUGAUAUGCAGCAAAGGUGACCUUGUCAGCCUCAGCUACUAGCGCGGAACGCAGUUUGUGAGAGAUACUGCGAAGCCAGUCAUUAGCGUCGAGAGGCUCGACGGAGUGGUGGAACGUGGGUGGAUGUAACUUGAUGAAAUCACUGAGUGACACCACGUUAGUCCUCUGAUGGUGUGCUCUGUUCUGUUCAAUACGCUCCAACAAACGGUUGGUCUCUCGCUUGUUUCUCUCGGCUUCCAGCAUAACUUCGGCUAGGGAAGGAGGAUGAGGCAGAUUUGCAUUCCUGACUUCACUGCCUUUGGCCGGCUCUUGAGGAGCGGGGUUAUUGCGCGUGUUGACCAUCCUAGGUAAACAAGACAAUGAUUUAGUCAGAAUGAUAAGAUUCCGACAUAGGAUACAAAAUGUAAGGAAUAACUCGGAAUGCAAGAUGAUCAUCCGUAUGACAUGGUAGAUACAGAAACUGCUUCUUUAUUCCAUCGUCAUACACACCAUGCAAGGUUUAGUACAAGACCAAACAAGGUACUAUUACGGUGAAAAGAGGAUUACAUCUCAUCGAGGCAUCCCAAGCUCCUAUACAUUAUUUUUCUACAUCUCCGGAAGGCGGUACAAACUAGGUCAUAUCCCACGAGUCACGCAGGACGAUAGACGACACAGCUAGUACGAACUAGUGAUACUACCACUAACUCAGACCGAUCCGUAGUAGUUCUCGUAGAAGUCACCUCCAUAGCCUGGAAGCUCAACAUGAUCAUCCGGGAACAGACGAUCUCGCGGAGCUUCUGGACCAUAGGGGCUAGGAUGAGGUCUUGGACCAACAGACGGUGGCGUGCGGGGACCGCGAGGUGGGGUGAUGCCUCCUACAUCACGCCAACCCAUCACGUCUGGCAGAGCAGAUNNNNNNNNNNNNNNNNNNNNNNNNNNNNNNNNNNNNNNNNNNNNNNNNNNNNNNNNNNNNNNNNNNNNNNNNNNNNNNNNNNNNNNNNNNNNNNNNNNNNUCCUUCUCGUCAACCUCGAAAGUCAUAGCCUUAUGUUUUCGGUCAUAUUGACUCUUUUGACGAGAUUGGGCUGUUUUCAACUUUUCACGAACGAUGCGAACUUGCUCUUCUGCUUCCUGAAUCAUAUCCGGGCCAAAGAAUUGUCUUUCCCCAGUUUCUGACCAGUUAAGGGGUGUUCGACACCGUCGUCCAUAGAGAACUUCAAAAGGGGCUUUACCCAAGCUAGAUUGAUAGCUGUUGUUAUAAGCAAAUUCGGCAAAUGGAAGGCAUUUCUCCCACUCCAUUCUGAAUGAGAUAACAGAGGCUCGAAGCAUGUCUUCUAGGAUCUGGUUGACGCGUUCUACUUGACCACUUGAUGGAGGGUGAAAAGCGGUGCUAAAGGAAAGGCGGGUUCCCAUAGCAUUGUGGAAACUUUCCCAAAAUCGAGAGGUGAAAAGACUUCCUCGAUCCGAGUUAAUUUCCAAAGGAACACCAUGGAGAGACACUAUUCGGGAGAUGUAUAAGUCUGCCAAUUGACUAGCGGUUAUACUCUCACGAACAGGUAAGAAAUGGGCUACCUUGGAAAGACGAUCGACAACAACGAAGAUAGCAUUAUUCCCUCUCUUGGUCCUGGGAAAACCGGUAAUGAAGUCCAUACCAAUUUUAUCCCAUUUCCAUUCAGGAAUAGCUAGGGGUUGAAGGGUGCCAGCAGGCCGUUGAUGCUCUGCUUUUACACGACGACAGACGUCGCAAUUAGCAAUAUACUGAGCAAUUUCUCUCUUCAUCCUAGUCCACCAGAACCUCUGGCGUAGGUCCUGAUACAUCUUGGUACCACCGGGAUGAAUGGUGAGAGGAGAUUCAUGAGCUUCCUUAAGGAUCAAUCGUCUCAGGUUUCGCACCUUGGGAACCACUAGUCGAUUCCCGAAGUAUACGACCCCUUGAUCAUCAAUGGAGAAACAAUUCGCAACUCCUUUCUUGAUGUUUUUCUUGAUGCGGGAAAUUCCCGGAUCUACCUUCUGUGCUUUGAUGAUCUGAUCCGUAAGGGUAGGUUUCGCCACCAAGGUGGAAAGAAAACCUUGAGGAACAAUGUGAAGGUUAAGCUUCCGAAAUUCCUCAUGGAGAAGCGGUUGACUUUGUUGUAACAUCAGGUUGUUACAAUAAGAUUUACGACUUAGCGCAUCAGCCAUGACGUUGGCUUUCCCUGGGGUGUAAGUUAUUCCUAAGUCGAAAUCUGUGAUCAACUCGACCCAACGUCUUUGCCUGAGAUUCAAAUCCGGUUGGGUGAAGAUGUACUUCAGACUUUGGUGAUCAGUGAAUAUUUCGCAACGAUUACCGAGAAGGUAAUGUCGCCAGGUUUUAAGUGCAUAGACUACAGCUGCAAGCUCUAGAUCAUGAGUAGGAUAAUUCUCCUCAUGUGGGUGCAAUUGCCGUGAGGCGUAAGCAAUUACGUGUCGAUCUUGCAUGAGAAUACAGCCUAGUCCUUGUCGCGAGGCAUCGCAGUAGAUAACAAAGUCCUUAGAGAAGUCUGGCGGUACCAGUACGGGAGCAGAAGUCAGGCGUCUUUUCAGUUCCUGAAAGCUGUGCUCACAUUGUGGAGUCCAUUCGAACUUUUUAUCUUUCUUGAGGAGUUCGGUUAGAGGUUUUGCAACUUUGGAGAAGUUCUCGACAAAGCGACGGCAAUAGCUCGCUAAGCCCAGAAAACUCCGAACUUGCUUGACCGAUUCAGGUGGAGUCCAAUUAAGGACGGCUUGAACUCGCUCGGGGUUAACAGCAAUACCUUUACCAGAUAUUACAUGACCCAGAUAGGUCACUUCUGACAACCAAGAUUCACAUUUAGAAAACUUGGCAUAAAGGCGAUGCUCUCGAAGUUUCUUCAACACUAGCCUUAGAUGUUCGGCAUGUUCUUCCUCGUUCUUGGAGUAGAUGAGUAUAUCAUCGAGGUAAACCACGAUGAAUUUAUCCAAAUACUCCAUGAAGAUUGAGUUCAUUAACCGAGAAAAAGUGGCUGGAGCGUUGGUUAAACCGAAGGACAUGACGGUGUACUCGUAUUGGCCAUAACGAGUAACAAAGGCCGUUUUAGGAAUGUCCCCAUUCCUGAUUUUGAUUUGAUGGUAGCCCAACCUCAAAUCCAUUUUGGAGAAGAUUGAGGAUCCAGCGAGCUGAUCAUACAAGUCGUUGAUCCUGGGGAGCGGAUAUUUGUUCUUGAUUGUGACCAAAUUGACAGGUCGAUAAUCUACAACCAUCCGGUCCAUACCAUCCUUCUUCUUGACAAAGAGGACGGGGCAAGCCAACAGAGAUGAACUAGGUCGGAUGAAACCCUUUUUCAAGGACUCAUCGAGUUGUUUCUUAAGCUCGGCUAGUUCUAGUGGUGCCAUCUUAUAGGGUCUUCUAGCAAUCGGAACGGUUCCUGGAAUGAGGUCUAUUACGAACUCAACAUCCCUGUCAGGUGGAACACCUGGCAAUUCCUUUGGGAAGACAUCCGGGAAGUCACGGACUACCGGGACGUCCUCAAGGUCUGGCAAAGGGCUGGCGUUCAGAGAAUAUAACUGUCGCUUGGCUAUUCGGGUCAAGACAUUGACUAUCUUCCCCGAAGGAUGGGUGAGUUGAACAGUCCUAGAGAAGCAAUCAAUUUGGGCAUGAUGGGCUGACAUCCAGUCCAUACCCAAGAUGAUAUUAAUAUCUGAAGAUUUAAGGGCUAUCAAAGAUGCGAGAAAAACAAGUCUGUCGACUUGAAUUUCAUUUCCAUGGCUUACUCUAGAAGUUUGCCAUUUGGAUCCCGGAGUUUGAAUUACCAUAGAGGUGGGCAUCUCACAGAAUGUGGUGUUAUGCAGACGAGCAUAGCUCUCGGAUAUAAAUGAAUGAGAUGCUCCUGUAUCAAAAAGAACAGAUGCCGGGUGGCAAUUAACAAGGAGCGUACCGAGAACGACGUUGGGAUCCUCUUGAGCUUCUUCGGCAGAGAUAUAGUUGACAUGGCCACGUGUAGCGGUGGCCGGCUUGGCGUGGAACACUUUACCUAUCGGCUUGCCACGGCCAAUAACUUUAGCAGAUUGGUUGGGGUUGGUCUGGGGACACUCGCGUAUAUAGUGGUCCGAUUCCCCACACUUAAAACAAGUCACAGAACUGGUACGUGGAGGAGCACUGUUGGUUGGACCACCAUAGGGCUUGGCUGGUGCAGACUGUUGAACGGGGCGAGGCACCUGGAAGGAUGGCCUCGGUGUGAACCUGGGUGGCAGGGCAGUGUUGGGCACCCACACGCGGCGCUUCUGAGGACCAGCACCAGAUGAGGAACCCACGUCACGGCCAUGCUUGCGUGUUGCGUCAUAAUCGGUCUGACCAGUCUCAGCACUGAUGGCCUUGUUAACAAGCUUCUGAAAAGAUGUGCACUCAUGCAGACGGAGGUCGCGGUGAAGCUCAGGACUAAGUCCCUUACGGAACCUUGCUUGCUUCUUGGCAUCAGUAGAAACUUCCUCAGUGGCAUAUCGUGCGAGGUUACCGAACUCCCUGCUGUAAGCAUCCACAGAGAGUCGGCCUUGGGUGAAACUGCAAAAUUCCUCACGUUUACGGUCCAUGAGACCCUCCGGAAUGUGAUGUUCACGGAAAGCCUCACUGAAUUCAGCCCAAGUAGUGACAUGGCCCGCUGGGCGCAUAGCUCCAUAAUUCUCCCACCAUAGACUGGCGGGGCCUUCAAGAUGAUAUGCAGCAAAGGUGACCUUGUCAGCCUCAGCUACUAGCGCGGAACGCAGUUUGUGAGAGAUACUGCGAAGCCAGUCAUUAGCGUCGAGAGGCUCGACGGAGUGGUGGAACGUGGGUGGAUGUAACUUGAUGAAAUCACUGAGUGACACCACGUUAGUCCUCUGAUGGUGUGCUCUGUUCUGUUCAAUACGCUCCAACAAACGGUUGGUCUCUCGCUUGUUUCUCUCGGCUUCCAGCAUAACUUCGGCUAGGGAAGGAGGAUGAGGCAGAUUUGCAUUCCUGACUUCACUGCCUUUGGCCGGCUCUUGAGGAGCGGGGUUAUUGCGCGUGUUGACCAUCCUAGGUAAACAAGACAAUGAUUUAGUCAGAAUGAUAAGAUUCCGACAUAGGAUACAAAAUGUAAGGAAUAACUCGGAAUGCAAGAUGAUCAUCCGUAUGACAUGGUAGAUACAGAAACUGCUUCUUUAUUCCAUCGUCAUACACACCAUGCAAGGUUUAGUACAAGACCAAACAAGGUACUAUUACGGUGAAAAGAGGAUUACAUCUCAUCGAGGCAUCCCAAGCUCCUAUACAUUAUUUUUCUACAUCUCCGGAAGGCGGUACAAACUAGGUCAUAUCCCACGAGUCACGCAGGACGAUAGACGACACAGCUAGUACGAACUAGUGAUACUACCACUAACUCAGACCGAUCCGUAGUAGUUCUCGUAGAAGUCACCUCCAUAGCCUGGAAGCUCAACAUGAUCAUCCGGGAACAGACGAUCUCGCGGAGCUUCUGGACCAUAGGGGCUAGGAUGAGGUCUUGGACCAACAGACGGUGGCGUGCGGGGACCGCGAGGUGGGGUGAUGCCUCCUACAUCACGCCAACCCAUCACGUCUGGCAGAGCAGAUNNNNNNNNNNNNNNNNNNNNNNNNNNNNNNNNNNNNNNNNNNNNNNNNNNNNNNNNNNNNNNNNNNNNNNNNNNNNNNNNNNNNNNNNNNNNNNNNNNNNUGCGUUCCGGAUACUUCUAGAGUAUCCUGGUGGUCGAAGGUGAUUUGUUGUAACAACCAGUGGCGGGACUCCUCUGGGACGGGCUGUAUGGCGCGUAUCUCUAUAGGCGCCAAUCUGUAUUUCCCUUUUGUCACGUGAAGUGAGUUUACUGUUUUGACUUCUUGUGGGAACUUCUUUUGUUCUCCGGUGCUCUGCUUGUGGGGUUCGUCAUCGUCCUCGCUUGGCAUGUCGAUCCCCUUGUGUUCGGUGUUAAGUUUGUCGGAUUGCUUGAAGACCCAACAAUUUCUGUGGGUAUGCUUUGCAGGCUACCCGGGAGUACUAUGGAUUUGGCAUGUUUUGUCCAAGAUGUUUUUUAGGUUAGAUAGCUCAUCCCUGCUAUCCUUGACUGCCACGCUCUUCAGGCUGUUUCCCUUGGUUCGGCGCUGGUCCUUGCUACACCGUGGUUUCCCGUUUCCAUCCCUGACUUCGGAUGUACUUGGGUCGCUGGUGCCGCUUCUUGCCAACCAGCUAUCCUAUCUUGUGCAAAAGCGGGUCAUGAGGCUUGUUAAUGCAGCCAUUGUUCUUGGCUUUUCUUGGCCGAGGUGUCUGGCGAGCCAUUCGUCUCGAACGCUGUGUUUGAAAGCUGCUAAGGCUUCGGCGUCCGGAUAGUCGACUAUCUGGUUCUUUUUAGUAAGAAAUCUGUUCCAGAGUUUUCGGGCUGACUCUUCGGGUAGUUGAGUUAUAUGACUUAGAUCAUCUGCAUCCGGAGGUCGGACAUAGGUCCCUUGAAAAUUUGCCCGAAAAGCAUCCUCGAGCUCUUCCCAACUUCCGAUGGUGUUUUCGGGAAGGCUUUUAAGCCAAUGCCAGGCUGGCCCUUUGAGCUUGAGGGGUAAGUAUUUUAUGGCGUGGAGGUCAUCUCCUCUAGCCAUGUGUAUGUGGAGGAUAUAGUCCUCAAUCUAGACUCCAGGGUCUGUUGUUCCGUCGUAUGCCUCUGUGUUUACGGGCUUGAAUCCCGCUGGAAAUUCAUGGUCCAGCACCUCAUCAGUGAAACAUAGGGGGUGUGCGGCACCCCUAUAUUUGGGUGUGCCGUGAUGGUUGGAUACUUGUUGCGUUGCAUUGCUUACUAGAGCUUGCUUUCUUGGCCCAUAGAUAGAUCUGGCUAGGCCAUCUUUUUGAUGUGAAUCCUUGUGCGGAUCGCGUGCCGGCUUGAGUGCGGCGCCCCUUGCCGCUCUAUGUUGGCCAUGGGGUUGUUUAUCCGACCGGGUAUCUUUUUUAUUUUUUUUAUUGCGGGGGCUCUAAGGCCUCCUCAUCAAAUUCCGACAGUAAUUUCCGCUUCGGAUAGAUCUUUGAGUGACGACUGUCGCCGUACUUGUUUGCGGUGUUGAGUACUUUGCCCCAUCUAAUUCUGAGUGCAUCUUCCGCUGUUUUGAGCUUCCGCUUCUGCUUUUUCUGGCUACGUGCAGUGGCGACGAGCCUUUUGUGGAGGUUCUUCUGCUCCAGCAACUUGCCUGGCGUGAGAUCGUCCGGACUAUUAUCUUCACCGGGGACGGGUUGUUCGGUUUGUUUACCCAAAUUGCCCUGUUCGGACGGUUGCUCGAUGGCAUGUUCGUCGUCCGCCGGUUCGCCCUGCUCGUUGGCUGGGUCUCUGUCGAGGUGGGGUUUGGCGCGGCGCUUACGCCGCCACUUUGAUUGCUUUUCAAGGGAACGAUCCCUCGUUGCGUCCCUUUGUUCCUCGUCGUCGCUUCUUUUAGGUGUGUCCACCAUGUAUACAUCAUGGGAUGAGGUGGUUGUCCGGUGCCCUAUAGGCGCUGCUUCCUGUUCGUCUCCUGCAUCGUCGUCCAUACCGUCGAUGUCUUCGGAGUCAAAAUCGAGCAUGUCGGUUAAAUCAUCGACAGUGGCUACAAAAUGGGUGGUGGGUGGGCUUUGAACUUCUUCGUCAUCCGCAUCCCAUCCUUGCUGACCAUAGUCCGGCCAGGGCUCUCCUGAUAAAGAGAGAGACUUUAGUGAAUUCAGAAUGUCGCCCAAGGGCGAGUGCUGAAAGAUGUCCGCGGCGGCGAACUCCAUGAUCGGCGCCCAAUUGGGUUCGAUUGGCAGGGGCACAGAAGGUUCGGAGUCCGGAAAGGAGUCCGGCACCUUGGAGUCACUAGCUUCGCAAAGGACAAGGUUGGUGUUCGGCUCGAUCGCUGUAGAGAUUGCAGCCCCUGAGGCGGCGUCCAGACACCCGUCCUCGAUUGGCGCAGUCGGCUCCGAACUAAGGGUCGGAGCGGACACUGGGGCGGCCACUUGGGCACUGUUCGGCGGCAGAGCUAGAUCGUGCCCAUCGCGACAGUGCGGUGCGCUCGGCUGUGGGUCGAACCCGUCGAAGAUCAAGUCUCUGCGAAUGUCAGCCGUGUAGUUCAAACUUCCAAAUCUGACCUGAUGGCCAGGGGCAUAGCAUUCGAUCUGCUCCAGAUGGCCAAUCGAAUUGGCCCACAGUGCAAAGCCGCCGAAUACGAAGAUCUGUCCAGGGAGGAAAGUCUCACUCUGUACCACGUCGUUGUUGAUGAUCGGAGGAGCCAUCGGGCCUAAAGAUGACAACACAGAGGAACUCUCAAUGAAAGCACCAAUGUCGGUGUCAAAACCGGCGGAUCUCGGGUAGGGGGUCCCGAACUGUGUGUCUAGGCGGAUGGUAAGAGGAGAUGAGGGACACGAUGUUUUUACCUAGGUUCGGGCCCUCUCGAUGGAGGUAAAACCCUACUCCUGCUUGAUUAAUAUUGAUGAUAUGGUUAGUACGAGAGUAGAUCUACCACGAGAUCAGAGAGGCUAAACCCUAGAAGCUAGCCUAUGGUAUGAUUGUUGUUUGUCCUACGGACUAAAACCCUCUGGUUUAUAUAGACACUGGAGAGGGCUAGGGUUACACAGAGUCGGUUACAAUGGGAGGAGAUCUACAUAUCCGUAUCGCCAAGCUUGCCUUCCACGCCAAGGAAUGUCCCAUCCGGACACGGGACGAAGUCUUCAAUCUUGUAUCUUCAUAGUCCGGGAGUCCGGCCAAAUGUUAUAGUCCGGUCAUCCGGACACCCCCUAAUCCGGGACUCCCUCAGGCUCCCAUGAACCUCUCAAAGGGGAACAUAUUCAGUAGAAAUACGGGCCCUAGAAUGACAAUCUCGUCGACUAGAUGAACUAGGAUGUGCGUCAUGAUAUUGAAGAAGGAUGGUGGGAACACCAGCUCGAAACUGACAAGACAUUGCGCCACAUCACUCCUUAGCCUUGGUACGAUUUCUGGAUCGAUCACCUUCUGAGAGAUUGCACUGAGGAAUGCACAUAGCUUCACAAUGGCUAAUCGGACGUUUUCCGGUAGAAGCCCCUCAAUGCAACCGGAAGCAGUUGCGUCAUAAUCACAUGGCAGUCAUGAGACUUUAGGUUCUGGAACUUUUUCUCUGGCAUAUUUAUUAUUCCCUUUAUAUUCGACGAGAAGCCAGUCAGGACCUUCAUACUGAGUAGGCAUUCAAAGAAGAUUUCUUUCUCUUCUUUUGUAAGAGCGUAGCUGGCAGGAC
This 19079-nucleotide long non-coding RNA is filed under the name Triticum aestivum (bread wheat). Its description in RNAcentral is "long non-coding RNA (TAES_LNC018992)". Lineage: Eukaryota; Viridiplantae; Streptophyta; Magnoliopsida; Poales; Poaceae. The record is from RNAcentral.